ACUCCUACGGGAGGCAGCAGUGGGGAAUAUUGGGCAAUGGGGGAAAGCCUGAUCCAGCCAUGCCGGGUGAGUGAAGAAGGUUUUCGGAUUGUAAAGCACUUUAAGUCGGGAGGAAGGGCAGUAAGUUAAUACC
RNAcentral lists this ribosomal RNA (133 nucleotides) under uncultured Pseudomonas sp. Its description in RNAcentral is "partial 16S small subunit ribosomal RNA". It matches the Rfam family "Bacterial small subunit ribosomal RNA", at positions 335 to 465 of the family's 1533-position model. The record is from RNAcentral. Lineage: Bacteria; Pseudomonadati; Pseudomonadota; Gammaproteobacteria; Pseudomonadales; Pseudomonadaceae.